AAGGGAUAAUAUAAUACAAAAGGUUAUGUGUCGAUGAAGUUAGCGGACAGUGGGCAGAUGCAGAUGAAUUCUUUAAUGAGGAACAGGCUAUGUGAAAGAGACCAGGCUAUUCGCAAACUGGAAAGGGAAAUAGAAGAUAAAGAUAGGGAAUUGCAAUCAAUUAAAUUAGACAACGACGCAGCUUGGGCCAAGGAUGAUCUUCUGCGGGAACAAGAUAAGA
This is a long non-coding RNA of Cucumis sativus (cucumber), 220 nucleotides long. RefSeq lists it as uncharacterized. Lineage: Eukaryota; Viridiplantae; Streptophyta; Magnoliopsida; Cucurbitales; Cucurbitaceae. The record is from RefSeq and is a predicted model, not a curated record. The transcript is spliced from 3 exons.